This 283-nucleotide long non-coding RNA is filed under the name Brassica napus (rape). Its description in RNAcentral is "long non-coding RNA (BNAP_LNC012544)". The record is from RNAcentral. Lineage: Eukaryota; Viridiplantae; Streptophyta; Magnoliopsida; Brassicales; Brassicaceae.
UCUCAUUAGUAAAUAGCAACAUAUCAAAAAAAAGAAAAAAAAGUAGCAACAUAUCAAUUCAUUGUAAGGCUGUAAUUAAUUUAUAAGAAAAUAUCAAACCGAUCGAUGCAAACAAUAUUGUUUUGUAAUCACUAGUUUAAGUGUUUUUUUUUUACAUUCUUUAACCACACCAAAUGUUUAUAUAAACCGUUCAUUCAGCAUCAUCAAAUUCGAGUCAACAUCAAGAAGAUCAAAAGAUAAGUAAAAAUAUAUACAGAGAGAGACUGGUUCUGAAUCCAGAAAA